Molecule: ribosomal RNA, 387 nt
Filed under: uncultured bacterium
Lineage: Bacteria
Description: bacterial SSU rRNA
Rfam family: Bacterial small subunit ribosomal RNA
Source: RNAcentral
AUUGAACGCUGGCGGCAUGCCUUACACAUGCAAGUCGAACGGCAGCGGACCUUCGGGUGCCGGCGAGUGGCGAACGGGUGAGUAAUAUAUCGGAACGUACCUUUCAGUGGGGGAUAACGUAGCGAAAGUUACGCUAAUACCGCAUAUUCUGUGAGCAGGAAAGCAGGGGGAUCGCAAGACCUUGCGCUGAUUGAGCGGCCGAUAUCAGAUUAGCUAGUUGGUGAGGUAAAGGCUCACCAAGGCGACGAUCUGUAGCGGGUCUGAGAGGAUGAUCCGCCACACUGGAACUGAGACACGGUCCAGACUCCUACGGGAGGCAGCAGUGGGGAAUUUUGGACAAUGGGCGCAAGCCUGAUCCAGCCAUGCCGCGUGAGUGAAGAAGGCCUC